AAUAAUCAAAAAUAAUGAAAAAUAUUAAAUCUUAAGAGCCAUCGUUAGCAUGUAUUAGGCAUAUAAGACCCAUCAUCAGCAUCCAAGAUCACAAAUGCAUGGGAUCCUAUGAUUUAUGGUGUGCAGACGAAGAAUAGUCAAGGAAGCAGACAGUAAGGCUGCAGUGUGUCGUAGACGCUAUCAUUAAAACACAAGACUACUCCCAAGAUGAAGGAAGCCACGUUCGUAUGCAACCAAAGAGAAGUGGCAGGCCAAAAGACCCCUUAUCACCAUGCAUGCAUGCAUCCAAAGGCUAUAAAAGAAGCCUAGGACCUAUAAAGACCUAUAAAGGAGAUGCAUCAUGGACAUGGAGAAAGGUGAGGUAAAUAAUGCAAGGGAGCACUAUUUGAGCCAGCCAUGGUGCCUAUAUAAGGAGGCUCUUUGCAGCAUUGGAGCACACACAACCAUCGAGCACAACACAAGCCUUCAGAACAGCAAGUAGUUCAGGGCAGUUAGCCAGAAAACUAUCUGCUUUCUAGUAGUAGUAGUACCACUUCCCACUGUAAUAAAGCCUGUAUAAUCAAGGCAUUUGUAACAUAAGACUGGGAAGGUAGUAAGGUAAUUUCUUUAUCUUUGUGUGAACCCUUCGGGGGUUCCCGAAAGGGAAAACCGUAUGUAAGCUAUAUUGUGAAAUGAAGUAGUUUUGUUUUUCCCUCGGUCUUUUUAGCGUGUUUAUACGGGUGGGUGCUUAUGCUAGGGAUCCUAUAGGAGAAACCUCUGCGUGUAGUUCUCUGUUAAGCCGUGUGUGUGUGGCGUUGAAAUGAGAACCUUGUAACCGUAGAGAAGUGUUCCCUUCGGGUGGAACUGCCUGGGAAGACGAUAAGAAAUCACCCAUAUAAACCUGACUAAAGACGCUUAGGGAAAUAAACUUAGCUACUCCUGAAGCAAUAUAGUAAUAAAUACGGUGAGUACUGAGUAGGAUUAUUACAUCACUGCGAAAACCGUCGGUAGUUCCGUUGGCCUCACCAGCCUUAUAAGAUCCUGCAAAAGAUAAUCAUAAUUUACCAUAUAACCUAAUAUUAGCGGGGAGGACAUAUACACCUAUACCCCGAAUAGUUGAUAGAAUAUCAUUUGAUUUGAAUAUGAUUCAAAAAAAAAAUAUUAAUAAAAAAAUUAAUAUAAAUAAUCAAAAAUAAUGAAAAAUAUUAAAUCUUAAGAGCCAUCGUUAGCAUGUAUUAGGCAUAUAAGACCCAUCAUCAGCAUCCAAGAUCACAAAUGCAUGGGAUCCUAUGAUUUAUGGUGUGCAGACGAAGAAUAGUCAAGGAAGCAGACAGUAAGGCUGCAGUGUGUCGUAGACGCUAUCAUUAAAACACAAGACUACUCCCAAGAUGAAGGAAGCCACGUUCGUAUGCAACCAAAGAGAAGUGGCAGGCCAAAAGACCCCUUAUCACCAUGCAUGCAUGCAUCCAAAGGCUAUAAAAGAAGCCUAGGACCUAUAAAGACCUAUAAAGGAGAUGCAUCAUGGACAUGGAGAAAGGUGAGGUAAAUAAUGCAAGGGAGCACUAUUUGAGCCAGCCAUGGUGCCUAUAUAAGGAG
This 1575-nucleotide long non-coding RNA is filed under the name Brachypodium distachyon (stiff brome). RNAcentral's name for it is "long non-coding RNA (BDIS_LNC000954)". Lineage: Eukaryota; Viridiplantae; Streptophyta; Magnoliopsida; Poales; Poaceae. The record is from RNAcentral.